UACGAAGGGGGCUAGCGUUGCUCGGAAUCACUGGGCGUAAAGGGCUCGUAGGCGGCCAACUAAGUCAGACGUGAAAUCCCCAGGCUCAACCUGGGAACUGCGUCUGAUACUGGAUGGCUUGAAUCCGGGAGAGGGAUGCAGAAUUCCAGGUGUAGCGAUGAAAUGCGUAGAUAUCUGGAGGAAUACCGGUGGCGAAGGCGGCAUCCUGGACCGGCAUUGACGCUGAGGAGCGAAAGCUAGGGGAGCAAACGGG
Molecule: ribosomal RNA, 253 nt
Filed under: uncultured bacterium
Lineage: Bacteria
Description: partial 16S ribosomal RNA
Rfam family: Bacterial small subunit ribosomal RNA
Source: RNAcentral